UUUCCCAGCAUGCCCUGGCUCUGGUGGUGGAGGUGAAUGAGGGGGAAGACUAUGUCCUGCUGCCCUGUCAGUACUCCGGUAUCAUACCUGAGACAAAUCCCACUGUGACGUGGACUCGCAACGAUCUUGAUCUGAAAUCUAUUCACCAACAAGGAGAAGGAGGAGAUGAUCUUACAGGACAAAACCAGCGUUACAGCAGACGCGCAUCAAUGAGGUCUGACGCUCUGGACACUGGAGACUUCAGCCUCACUCUGAGAAAACCAACAAAGACUGACAGCAGCAACUACAGCUGCUCCAUCAGUUAUGGAAGAGAGGAACAGAGAGUCAUAGACAUCCAGCUGAAGGUCAAAGGUUAGCAGAAAAACUCCGACAAAUGUUGUAAUUACUGGUCAUAAGUCAGUUCUGUACACAAAUGUCAGAGGUUAACUGAAGAAAAGUAUUUCCUAAAUUAUUAUGUAUGACAGCGGCAACUACACCUGCAUCCUCAGUUAUAGAAGCCAUGGAGUAGAACGUAGACUGACAGACAUAGAGCUGGAGGUCAAAGUCCAGCAGGUGAUUGUGAAGGUGGUAGAAGGAUCGGAGUCUGCCAUCUUGCCCUGCAGAACGACAGCUGACCUCUCACAGGAUACCACGGUUGAGUGGACUCGCUCUGAUGUAGACUUCAUGUUGGUCCACGUGUACUCAAAGACACGUAACACCAUCAGGGAACAGGAUGGCUUUUACAGAGACCGAACGAUGAUGAAUGAAGACCCGCUGAGAACUGGAGACCUCAGUCUGACCCUGAAAUACCCCACAGAUGGAGACAGUGGAGGAUACGUUUGCACCAUCUACAGGGACAAAGACAUCCUGAGACAGAAAGUAGUGCUGCAGGUCAAAGAACGAUCUUGGGCCAAAGUUCUAGUGGCUCUCCUGGUUCUCCUGGUUCUUCUUGUGGUUUCUGGAGGUCUUUUAUAUCAUUUCCGGCACUAUUUCAUGUCAGGUGAGUGUCUCCUACUACACUACCCAUAA
RNAcentral lists this long non-coding RNA (1008 nucleotides) under Oreochromis niloticus (Nile tilapia). RNAcentral's name for it is "lncRNA (ENSONIG00000028619.1)". Lineage: Eukaryota; Metazoa; Chordata; Actinopteri; Cichliformes; Cichlidae. The record is from RNAcentral.